Molecule: ribosomal RNA, 492 nt
Filed under: uncultured bacterium
Lineage: Bacteria
Description: partial 16S ribosomal RNA
Rfam family: Bacterial small subunit ribosomal RNA
Source: RNAcentral
AGUGAACGCUGGCGGUAGGCCUAACACAUGCAAGUCGAACGGCAGCACAGUAAUAGCUUGCUCUUACGGGUGGCGAGUGGCGGACGGGUGAGGAAUACAUCGGAAUCUACUUUUUCGUGGGGGAUAACGUAGGGAAACUUACGCUAAUACCGCAUACGACCUACGGGUGAAAGCAGGGGAUCUUCGGACCUUGCGCGAUUGAAUGAGCCGAUGUCGGAUUAGCUAGUUGGCGGGGUAAAGGCCCACCAAGGCGACGAUCCGUAGCUGGUCUGAGAGGAUGAUGAGCCACACUGGAAAUGAGACACGGUCCAGACUCCUACGGGAGGCAGCAGUGGGGAAUAUUGGACAAUGGGCGCAAGCCUGAUCCAGCCAUACCGGGUGGGUGAAGAAGGGCUUCGGGUUGUAAAGCCCUUUUGUUGGGAAAGAAAAGCAGCAGGUUAAUACCCCGCUGUUCUGACGGUACCCAAAGAAUAAGCACCGGCUAACUUCGUG